CCCAAGCCUGAUGAACACUGGUCUGUGAUUGCUCCAGACCCCAAGGCAAGUCCCAAGUCCUGCAAUUUUGCUGAGAGGAAGUGGCCACUAAACCAACUCCCUGGUGGGGAGUCUUCCUUCCUCCACACCCUCCUCAGAAGUGGCCAUGGGAAUCCUCGACAAGGAUGUCCCAGCAGUUGGUCCCGGAGUUUGGCUCCUGUUCCCAGCUCUAGGCCCCCUAGGGAUUGGCAGAUAUCUUCAGGAUUCUGCCUGUCUCAGCCUGUGAUGUCUUCCUUGCCGGGCCUCCCUUUCAGGGAAAGGAGAAUUGCUUAAGACUUAAAAACUUGCUCAGCAGCGUCAAGUCCACUUGCCUAGUAAGAAAGGGCAAAUCUUCACAAACAUAAGGCCAUUUGACCUGAAGAGUCCCAUCCCACAGUAUUGUCCGGGGCAGGGGACAGGGAUGCUGACUGCUGGCCUCGAUCCUGCUGCUGCUGCUGUCUUAUUCUCCAGACCCCUCGUUCUCAGCUGGACCGGCUGUCCUCCCUGAACCCCGUGGCCUCCCCGCCUGGUGAGCAGGUCUGCCUGGUUGUGGUUCCUCCUGGGACUCCCACUGCCACCAACUGGGCCACAUCCUGCCGAGUCCCUAAGGAGGGCCCCAUUCACAGAGAAGGGCUUACUCUGUACUUGGGCAAAAUAGGUUUGACAAUCAUAAAAAACCUAGAAGUGGGCAAGGCAACCUUACCCCACCCCCUGAGGACUGGGAUAAUGGUUGAAGUACAAUAACUAGUCCAUCAUGGACCACAACUAAUCACACUAAGGGACCAGUGUCUCAGGCUCCCUUGAAAGGCAAAGCACUAACCCUUUAGUUGCUGGAUCUGAGAAGGCCCAGGAGAGGGGCCUGAGCUGCAGGGGGCGUGGCCUUCAGGGGCUCCUGACAGCAGGUGUUUAGCAGCUGGUACGGAGGCAUUUCAAUACCAGUAGGUAGGGCCAUCGUGGUGCCUUCCAGCGAUGUGCAUUGUUUACUCUACCAAUGACUUCCGUGAAGUGGCCAGCGACAGCAGUCACUGGCAGGAUUAUACAGAACUGGAGUGGGUUCAAUGACUGAAAAGACAGCUUGUCUGCUAGUUGCCUAAAAUAACAUUACUAAUGGGUAUCAGCAAACUAUGCAUGAUCAAAAUGGGGAGAGGGACAAUCAGCCCCCAGCAGCAUUUCCCUGUAACCUGGGGUUUGAGAAGCACUGGAGGCUGUGGGUACUGGUUUCUGUCCUCCAACUCUGUGGUGC
This is a long non-coding RNA of Myotis brandtii (Brandt's bat), 1261 nucleotides long. RefSeq lists it as uncharacterized. Lineage: Eukaryota; Metazoa; Chordata; Mammalia; Chiroptera; Vespertilionidae. The transcript has 3 exons. The record is from RefSeq and is a predicted model, not a curated record.